Molecule: ribosomal RNA, 478 nt
Filed under: uncultured bacterium
Lineage: Bacteria
Description: bacterial SSU rRNA
Rfam family: Bacterial small subunit ribosomal RNA
Source: RNAcentral
GAACGCUGGCGGCGUGCCUAACACAUGCAAGUCGAACGAAGCACAUACGACGGAACUCUUCGGAGGGAAGAUGUAUGUGACUGAGUGGCGGACGGGUGAGUAACGCGUGGGUAACCUGCCCUAUACAGGGGGAUAACAGUUGGAAACGACUGCUAAUACCGCAUAAGCGCACGGUAUCGCAUGAUACAGUGUGAAAAACUCCGGUGGUAUAAGAUGGACCCGCGUCUGAUUAGCUUGUUGGUGAGGUAACGGCCCACCAAGGCGACGAUCAGUAGCCGGCCUGAGAGGGUGAACGGCCACAUUGGGACUGAGACACGGCCCAAACUCCUACGGGAGGCAGCAGUGGGGAAUAUUGCACAAUGGGGGAAACCCUGAUGCAGCGACGCCGCGUGAGUGAUGAAGUAUUUCGGUAUGUAAAACUCUAUCAGCAGGGAAGAUAAUGACGGUACCUGACUAAGAAGCACCGGCUAAAUACGUG